UGCAUAAGACAUAAAAAGCGCACCCCUUAGAUUUAUACAUAACAUAUCGAUAAAAGCAAUGGCGGCUUCUCGAUCAAUCUCAAUCAUCAUGAGCCUCAUGAUUCUGGCCCUGGUCAUGUCUCCAGCGCCACCUUGUCAUGCUGCUCGACUAAACGAGCGAGUUUUAACUGGACCGAUAUGCCCGGCUUGUGUCUGUUGCUCGCCACCGCCACCGGGUUCCUGUUGUGAGUGCUGUACUACGCCUGUUGAGACAUCAGCAGAAGGAUCGCCCUGACGAAUUAAAUUGCUGGAAUUUGCCUGGGGGUUUCUGGCUAAAAGAUUAGCAUGAAUAAGAGGAGAAGCCCUUGCUGUUGAUGUGUUUCUUUAUGUAAUUUCUAAUGAUAAUAAAUAAACUCUCCGCCGAUGGGGACCAAUAAGCUUUUAGGCAUAUACGACAGAGAUGAAUGGUUCAAACAAUAUGGUUGAAUCUCUCUCGUAUGACCGAUGCUUUCUUUCUUGUAAAAUCAAAUUGAAGCUGGAAAAUAAGCUUGUCUUUGGUUUUCGAGUUGUAUAAUGAUUCAACUCAAUUUGAUUUUAUACAAUAAUUGUAAGUGUUACAAAUAUA
Non-coding RNA from Punica granatum (pomegranate), 604 nucleotides. The record is from RefSeq and is a predicted model, not a curated record. Lineage: Eukaryota; Viridiplantae; Streptophyta; Magnoliopsida; Myrtales; Lythraceae.